ACACUAAGGAGUGUGAGCAGAGGAGGGAUAUGACCAACACAAUUGGCACGGGUCACUCUAGCUGGAAGCGGGCAACCAGCGUGGAAACUGUCUGUGAUAAUCCAGGAGAGAUGACCCUGGAGCUGGAGUAAAGAAAAUCCAGUCUUCACAGAAGGAGCAAUGGAAAAAAGACCGAGUCCUACGUCAUGUUAAUUUUUCCAGCUGUCUAAAUAAACUGUAUUGAUGAGGUGCCUCCGGCUGUCACAUCUGGAGG
Molecule: long non-coding RNA, 253 nt
Organism: Manis pentadactyla (Chinese pangolin)
Lineage: Eukaryota; Metazoa; Chordata; Mammalia; Pholidota; Manidae
Exons: 3
Source: RefSeq, a predicted model, not a curated record